RNAcentral lists this ribosomal RNA (619 nucleotides) under Escherichia coli. Its description in RNAcentral is "partial 23S ribosomal RNA". It matches the Rfam family "Bacterial large subunit ribosomal RNA", at positions 1291 to 1895 of the family's 2925-position model. The record is from RNAcentral. Lineage: Bacteria; Pseudomonadati; Pseudomonadota; Gammaproteobacteria; Enterobacterales; Enterobacteriaceae.
CGAAUGCUGACAUAAGUAACGAUAAAGCGGGUGAAAAGCCCGCUCGCCGGAAGACCAAGGGUUCCUGUCCAACGUUAAUCGGGGCAGGGUGAGUCGACCCCUAAGGCGAGGCCGAAAGGCGUAGUCGAUGGGAAACAGGUUAAUAUUCCUGUACUUGGUGUUACUGCGAAGGGGGGACGGAGAAGGCUAUGUUGGCCGGGCGACGGUUGUCCCGGUUUAAGCGUGUAGGCUGGUUUUCCAGGCAAAUCCGGAAAAUCAAGGCUGAGGCGUGAUGACGAGGCACUACGGUGCUGAAGCAACAAAUGCCCUGCUUCCAGGAAAAGCCUCUAAGCAUCAGGUAACAUCAAAUCGUACCCCAAACCGACACAGGUGGUCAGGUAGAGAAUACCAAGGCGCUUGAGAGAACUCGGGUGAAGGAACUAGGCAAAAUGGUGCCGUAACUUCGGGAGAAGGCACGCUGAUAUGUAGGUGAAGUCCCUCGCGGAUGGAGCUGAAAUCAGUCGAAGAUACCAGCUGGCUGCAACUGUUUAUUAAAAACACAGCACUGUGCAAACACGAAAGUGGACGUAUACGGUGUGACGCCUGCCCGGUGCCGGAAGGUUAAUUGAUGGGGUCAGCG